Molecule: unclassified non-coding RNA, 265 nt
Filed under: plant metagenome
Description: partial contains small subunit ribosomal RNA and internal transcribed spacer 1
Rfam family: Eukaryotic small subunit ribosomal RNA (bases 1-46)
Source: RNAcentral
AAGUCGUAACAAGGUUUCCGUAGGUGAACCUGCGGAAGGAUCAUUACAAAUAAAGCUGGUAGGAAGUGGGGUCUUGAUCUGUAAGUGGUAGAGCGAACAGUCCGGCCGCCUCCCGAAAAUGUCUUACAUGUCCCCCCACAGCCUGAAGGCCGAAUUACAACCCCUUGAUUAUCUACACCCUGUUGCUUUUGGGGGUGCUCAAGUGCCCCCAGAGGACCCAACUCUCUUGCCAUUUAGUGACGUCUGGUACUAUAUAUAUUUAAAA